GGGGAAAAAAAAGAUUCCGCGGUAACCUUUUUUUAAUUUUUUUUUCUUUUUCCGUUUUCUUUUAACGGCAAAAGAUCGACAAUGGUCGCAGCAGCACCGGCGGCGGCGGCGGCGCUGUGAGUGAACGGAGCCCUGAGAGGCGGAACCAGCACGAGCUCGCCGAGGUUACUGCAGCUUUUCCCUGUGAACAUUGGACACCGAUAAGCUCGGCACAUGAUCAUCGAGAAGAAUCAUCAGUAAAGUCUCGAAGCUGGGGUUUAGGGUUUUUCAAUUGCAACCAUUUCUCUCUUCUUUGGCAGGGGCCCCGUUGACUUCGAGCUGAAAUGGGCCGUUCUCGCACGGCGUUCCGUACCGGUGACGACGACCCCAAUCAAAGUAGAGCUAAGAAGAAAAAGGUUGCUUCAGGUCCAGAAAAUGCCGAGGCCGAGUUUACAGCUGCUGGUCGAGGAAUAAAUGAAGGAACCGCAGGAUUAUACCACUGCAACUACUGCAACAAGGAUAUCUCCGGAAAGGUUCGCAUAAAAUGCGCAGCAUGUCCAGAUUUUGACCUAUGCAUAGAGUGUUUCUCUGUCGGAGCUGAGAUUACACCACACAAGAGCAACCAUCCCUACCGGGUCAUGGACAACUUAUCUUUCCCACUAAUAUGUCCAGACUGGAAUGUAGAUGAGGAAAUGCUACUUUUAGAGGCCAUUGAAAUGUAUGGUUUUGGUAACUGGGCGGAAGUUGCUGACUAUGUUGGAUCUAAAAGCAAAUCGCAAUGCAUUGACCAUUAUAAUGCCGUUUACAUGAAUUCCCCGCACUUUCCUCUCCCUGACUUGACUCAUGUUAUGGGCAAAAAUAAAGAGGAGCUCAUUGCUAUGGCCAAAGAACUUGCUGAAGUAAAGGAAGAUAGCUCAUCCUCGGGGGAACUUCCGCCUAAAGAAGAGCCUGUUUUUUCAACGAGAGCGAAAUCCGUUGAAUCCGAGAAGGAAGUUCCAGUUCAGCAGCUUUCUUCUAGUUCAACUGCUGGUGCAGGAAAAAGGACAUCCCAUAUGCUGCUGAUCAAGGAUGAAAUCAAAGAGGAAGGUACACUCAAUGAACCUCAAGUAGGCAGGAUUGGAGAGAAAAAACCUAGGCUUACAGGGGAUGAAGGACCUUCUAUGUCAGAUUUGGGUGGUUACAAUUUCAAGAGGCAGGAAUUCGAAAUUGAAUAUGACAAUGAUGCAGAACAGUUACUGGCUGAUAUGGAAUUCAGGGACACUGACACAGAUGCUGAGCGUGAACUGAAGCUUCAAGUGCUGCGUAUUUAUUCACGAAAGCUUGAUGAGAGGAAACGUAGGAAAGAUUUUAUCCUGGAGAGAAAUUUACUCUACCCUGAUCAUUUCGAGAAGAAUCUGCCACCCGAAGAGCGAGGAAUAUAUAAGCGGUUGAAGGUCUUUACGCGUUACCACUGCAAAGAAGAUCACGAAGAACUGCUGAAGAGUGUUAUUCAAGAACAUCAAAUUCUCAGAAGGAUACAGCAACUCCAGCUCUACUUUAUAUUGUCGUGCAGGAAGCUCGAGCUGCAGGUUGCAGAACAGCUGCCGAGGCAAAUAAGUUUAUCGAUGACAAAAGAGAAAGGGAAGCUGAAGAAAGCUCACAGAGAGCGAAGGAGAGUGCCCAGGCUGGUCCAAGCAGUAAAGUCCUUCCAAGGCUAAAUUAUUCAAAAAGUGAAGUUGAUGGGAUCCCUAUGGAACUUCUUGAUUGGGACAUCAGUGAUUUUCCGGGAGCCGAAUUACUCUCUGAAACUGAAAAGCGCCUUUGCAGAGAGAUCAGACUAUUGCCAGCACAUUAUCUCAAAAUGCUGCAUGUACUGUCAAUGGAGAUUAAGGAAGGAAAGCUGACCAAGAAAUCCGAUGCAUACAGCCUGUUCAAAGUGGACCCAACCAAGACUGAUCGGGUCUACGAUAUGCUUGUAUCAAAAAGGAAUUGCUCAAGCUAGAGUAACAUUGUACACGCUUUUGAGUAGCAGUCAUAUGUGUUCGCCAAAAAUAUAUAGAUCAGAUAAAACUGUAAAGCUCAAGCCCGAUUUUGCUGAGCAUUGAAAACACGCUCAUUCGUCAGAAUGACAAAAUAUUCGGUUUCAGAUAACAAGAUGUUGAAUCUUUCCGGUA
Molecule: non-coding RNA, 2132 nt
Organism: Punica granatum (pomegranate)
Lineage: Eukaryota; Viridiplantae; Streptophyta; Magnoliopsida; Myrtales; Lythraceae
Source: RefSeq, a predicted model, not a curated record